Molecule: ribosomal RNA, 492 nt
Filed under: uncultured bacterium
Lineage: Bacteria
Description: partial 16S ribosomal RNA
Rfam family: Bacterial small subunit ribosomal RNA
Source: RNAcentral
CUUUCCCUCUGGCGGUAGGCCUAACACAUGCAAGUCGAACGGCAGCACAGUAAGAGCUUGCUCUUACGGGUGGCGAGUGGCGGACGGGUGAGGAAUACAUCGGAAUCUACUUUUUCGUGGGGGAUCACGUAGGGAAACUUACGCUAAUACCGCAUACGACCUCCGGGUGAAAGCAGGGGAUCUUCGGACCUUGCGCGAUUGAAUGAGCCGCUGUCGGAUUAGCUAGUUGGCGGGGUAAAGGCCCACCAAGGCGACGAUCCGUAGCUGGUCUGGGAGGAUGGUCAGCCACAUUGGAACUGGGACACGGUCCAGACUCCUACGGGAGGCAGCAGUGGGGAAUAUUGGACAAUGGGCGCAAGCCUGAUCCAGCCAUACCGAGUGGGUGAAGAAGGCCUUCGGGGUGUAAAGCCCUUUUGUUGGGAAAGAAAAGCAGCAGGUUAAUACCCCGCUGCUCUGACGGUACCCAAAGAAUAAGCACCGGCUAACUUCGUG